RNAcentral lists this non-coding RNA (110 nucleotides) under Neisseria mucosa. RNAcentral describes it as "SAM-I-IV sequence". It matches the Rfam family "SAM-I/IV (S-adenosyl methionine) riboswitch aptamer". From Rfam's summary of the family: It is found upstream of a number of genes which code for proteins involved in methionine or cysteine biosynthesis. It has been found mostly in the order Actinomycetales. Lineage: Bacteria; Pseudomonadati; Pseudomonadota; Betaproteobacteria; Neisseriales; Neisseriaceae. RNAcentral also lists the same sequence under 1 other name. The record is from RNAcentral.
GCGCUGCAUUAAGAGUUGGGAAUUCCAUGCCAACCUGCUUUUCAGACGGAAAGGUAAGGUGGACGGCUGUAAAGCCGAUGUGGUCCGAGAGGGCAAUUCAAAUCCUCCCG